Aegilops tauschii subsp. strangulata is the source of this 2664-nucleotide non-coding RNA. NCBI's taxonomy places the organism in Eukaryota, Viridiplantae, Streptophyta, Magnoliopsida, Poales, Poaceae. The record is from RefSeq and is a predicted model, not a curated record.
UAAGGACGUGCAUCCCCUUCCAACAGAUCAAUUUCGCUCGUCGCUCUUCAAGCGCUGAUUUGUUCUUCCCUUUCUCUUCUUAUUUUCUUGUUGUUCAUACAACCGCUGCUGCCGGUUUCCUGCUUCUGCCUCUUCCGUAUGCCUGUCCGCACCGUUUGUUCCAAGAAGCGAAGGCGGAGGUGGAGAUGCGGGAGAGGCCGAGUCCGAGGUGGCAGAGGACGGGCGAUGAAAAUGGCACAGAGUGGUCGCGGGCUCAUUCCGGCGGCCGGCGCACGCAGCCGUGAGGGGUGGGGUGGAUGAGCAAGGGGCGCCGCCGCCGCUGCCUCGUGCGUGCGGGCGAGAAGGUGGAGAGCGCACACCGCUCCGAUGGAGAAGAACAUGUGAUUCAAAUCGUGUUGUACUAUGUUCUUAUUGUCUUAGUUGGUUGCUCUGUAUGAUAUGGUUGUGUUUGAUUAGUUGUUCUGGAUCUCCGGUACAGAUUUGUUGAUGGUGGAAUGGACGGUACUUUAUUAUGUGACGUUCUUGGAUAAAAGAUUUGGUUCAGCUUAGUAUUACUUCUGUUACCAACUUCUUUUCAUGAAAGCCAUUCAUUUUGGCAAGGCCCCAUCACACCUGGCAAUUAUAUUGGUUGCGUGGGAGAAAUUGAAGUUACAGGCCAUAAUUCCCAUGGCUAAGCUGCCCUACAACAGUCUAGAGCUCGGUCGGAUGGAGCAGUUGGGGAGGAGUGGCGGAUGCGCGGGGCAUCGCCGGCCAGAGAGGACGGGAGGAGCAUAUGCCAGCGAGGGAGGCAGCUCGGCUUGGACCGGCCAUGGCGCCGGCGCUGCUAACUCCCACGGGCCUCUCAUUCCCCAUCUCUUCUGGAAGUGAUGAAUCAAGCAAGGAGGAAGGGCGUAGUGUUGGAUAUUUGACCAGGUUAGGAUUGUCUCCUGUUAAGUAUAUGGUCGCGUGAUUUUAUUUUUACCUCGCCGGCACUGAGUUUGAUUUAAUUUUCAUCUCCGACGAGUCUACCGGUUGCGUUCUUAUUUUGUUGCAGGCGACAUAUAUGGAUGCCUCUGUUCUGAAUAAACAAUAUUUACUUGAACCUAUAUGGUCUGAAUAAAGUUUACACUGCCAAUAUUUUGCCUUGACCUGCCAAGGUAUGAACUAAAACAUCAAUAUCACUCGAACCUAAUCAUGUCAGGGUCUAAAUUAUUGCCUAUCUGCCAAUAUAAUAGCAUGCUAGAUGUUCUUAGAUUCAAUCCAAAAAAGCUUUGUUUGUGUUCCUGUCAAUUUUAGACGUGCAGGUAGCUUGAUAACUUGCUUUUCUUUUUGUUCAGUACAUAUAUACAGUUACACCAUAAGCUCACCAAUUUGCUCUGAUUAAAUUAGCAAACCUGAAGCAUGUAAGGAUUCAUGUGAGUGAAAGUUCACUUUCUUUCAGGAGAAAAGAACUUUUAGUUAAUACCAGUCGAAUUUGGUAAGGCCAAUAAUUAUAUCCUUUCAUAAUCAUCAGGUUUGCUACAAUUAGUCAUAAUAAAGUAUUCUAUUUUUUCUUUUGCACAGUGGCAUUGCAAUGGAUAUUGUUCUUUUACUAGCAGUGUGCUGAGUGUGCAUGCAAAGUACAGGUCAUUUUGAGUGGCAAGGGUUGAGAAUUACCAUAAUGUUAAUAUGUUGAAGAACCUUAUAAAAUAUAUAAUUAUAUAUUUGACACUUUUUAUACUGAUUCAAGUGAAAAAUGUCAUAAUUCUAAUAGAUAUUUGCAUCUGCGCCAAGUGCGGCAUGCAGUCAUCCUCAUCCUGUCCUGAACGUACCAUGUACUCUGUAUUGAGAAAAGACUAGGGAGUUAAGAAUACCAUGUGGCACCGGAGCAGCCUAAGGGCCAUUAGUUGGGAAUAAGAUGCACUGGAUAUCUGAGUUUAAGUGGUAGCUUUGCACUUUGCAGUAUGGUGAUGUCACUCUUGGUGUGAUGGUCACUCAUCGAGCGUGUCAACUACUCAUAAAUAGCUCUAUCCAGCAAAUUUUCUUUAGAUUUUGCUCUAUUCUAUUGAUCAGAUUUGCCAAGUCAUUUUUCCUUCGAGGUAUUUAGCAUUGCCAAAUUUAUAUAUUUACCUAAAUUUAAUCGUGACCCGAUUUGCUCUGGUCAAUACAUGCAUGAUGCCUUUUCUUUUCUAUAAAGUGGAUGCAGGGUUAUUUUACCUUUUAGACUCUGAGUUAGAUUAGCCGCACCUGUGUAUAUGUUUGAUAGAUGAGCUGUGUCAGGUUGUAGGUACUGCUAAGCACAAAGCUAUAGUUGGAUAUAAUAUUGGAUUUACAAUUAUUUUAUGCAAAAGAUUUCUGGUUAGUUGUAAAAUUCAUAAUAUUCCAGUAUAUUUCAAAUUUUGUUUCAUAGAGAAGCUCCAUCAUUGGAACCAGUAUAUGUCUGCUGAUAAAACCCUUUUGUAUGAUCAUGGUUUUUAGGAAUUGAUAUUCCAAUCAAUCUGCUGAUGCGGUAUUUGUGGGAGAUGAAGAGCAGCGACGGGUUUAAUCUAGGGGCCGUCUUUCUCGAGCUACAUUCAUGCUUCACAGCAGUUCACCUUCCCACAAUUUCUCAGAUUCCAAAAUAGGACUAACUUCUGCUUAUUUUCUAAUCUAUUCAUUGUACCUCAAGGUGAACCAAUCUAUCCCACGAGAGCAUAUUUUUCUUAA